GCAAUUCUUCUUUUUAUCACACAAUACUGUUGAGUUGCGCCAAAGUUCUUACCAUCACUUCCCUUCUUGCUGGCUAUACUUCUCCGUCUUUUGUGCGACCAUAUCAUAACCGACUGUCGUAUAAGAGAGAAACAAGUCAUAAACUAAAUCACUCCUUCAUUCUUUCCCUCUCUGUCAGACAGUUUUAGAUGAGAGGACAUUACAUAAAAUGCAAUCUCUUCUUUUAUUUUUAUUUAAAAAGGUGAGUAGACUAUUAUGUCGCAUCCAGUGGACAAUCAACUCAACUGACAGGGCUGAAAAUAACUUAUGUCCCUGGAGGAUCGACUCAAUCGCCCAUAAAGGGAAACCAACACAAAACCCCUACCUGUUGGAUUAGUGCUCACGAAACUUAUCAGACGAGAGGCGGACGAUGUCGUCAUUCUGUGCCUUGACGAAUUUUCAGGAAGCCUCGUAUACGCUCGUGAUUUUUUUGAAAACGAAAUUCCAGAUGGCUGCCAUCAUAUUGAAAACAAAUAAUUUUUCAAAUCAACUUUCAGCCAAAUUGAUCUACACGAUUUCGUGAUCAAUUAUCGCGAACUGAUUUUGAUUUCAGCGUCCAGUGCCCAAUUCCUUCGGCCAACUAUUGUUUAAUAGCAACGUGGUUUUGAACGAACUUUGGUUGUCUGUUAUACUGGAGAUUUGCAUCUUGCCAUGAAUGCUACAAUAUGCAAAGUGAGCUAAAAAGUUGUUGGCUGUUUCGCCUCACCAAUCAUCCUCACAACCGGCGGCGUUCAGAGAUACUUGUGACCGUAUAAAUUUUCAUAGAAAUUACUAUACGCGAUUGAAUCGUAAUUACACUUUUUGUUUUCAUUCCAUCGUCUACCUGUUACAAAACUGUGAUUGGAAACCUCGACGGUCAUACAGUCGCAAUUAAAAAAAAUAAUUGUUUGGUGUGGUGGAAUCUUUUAAACUUACAAAACCCGUUUUCGUUUCUAUUGUCGAAAAACUUGUGAGAAAUAAAAAAAUUUAUUAUAAAAUGUUUUAGUAUAUAGACGCCUGUUUAAAACAGACGUCAACAAGAAUUUUAUUUACGGACGGUCUCAUCUUUCGGCGGUUUAUCAAGGGGACACCUCCCACUCAACCAUCCACAUGAUUCGGAGUCGGGAAUUCGUUUCCGUUGUCCUGAAUUUGAUUCGACCCAAGUCGUGCUAGCCAGAUAAUGCAAUCAUUUUCGACUGGUUAGUUUUUGAAUCCCACGUAUAGUUAAGAAAAAAGAUUUUCGCAACUUAAGUAGGCUACGUAUAUAAAAAUCGUGUUAUCUUUGUACAGUUGAUUGUUGAUAUCGUUAAAUGUUGUUGUAUAUACCGUGCCUUUUCUACUAGAA
Molecule: long non-coding RNA, 1363 nt
Organism: Daphnia magna
Lineage: Eukaryota; Metazoa; Arthropoda; Branchiopoda; Diplostraca; Daphniidae
Exons: 2
Source: RefSeq, a predicted model, not a curated record